Long non-coding RNA from Myotis myotis, 890 nucleotides. RefSeq lists it as uncharacterized. The transcript has 11 exons. The record is from RefSeq and is a predicted model, not a curated record. NCBI's taxonomy places the organism in Eukaryota, Metazoa, Chordata, Mammalia, Chiroptera, Vespertilionidae.
AGGAAGGAUGUCUCAGCUCAAGACAGAGUUCAGUUGUAAAGAGCAGCUCUUCAAAAAGCCUGCAGAAGGAACCUGAGGGCCUUCUCAAAUUGUAUAGCUUCAGGCUCUAUAAAACCUGGAUCUACUCCUAUUUGAUGGUUAAGUCAAAGUUCAGAUUAAAAGAUGUAUACUCCACAGUUCUCACAUUGAAGCAAGAUCUGUAACUCAUUUGUGCUGUUGAUUAAUAAAUUGAUGGUGUAGUUGAAUUGGAUCAUUCAAGCCUCUGAGGAAAAGCAAUUGGGAGAACACGGCAGGCUUUGGAAAAUGGAGUUUCUGCUGAAAAUUCCCUGCUAUCAUCUUAGCAAUCUUAUUCUUAUCAAAGCAUUUGGAUAUUAGGGUCUUCCCAGGAACAGCCUGUAAGACUUCAAAUAAAGGAUCAUGCUGACACUGGCCUAAGGUGGAUUUAACUCUUUUUACCUAAAUUUCUGGUCGAUAUCAGUGGGAAGCUCUCACAGAAAAUGCCUGGCUUAAAAUACCGCAGCACCAUGGGAAAAGACUUAUGCCCUGCUGAAAAGGCCAAGCAGGACCCAAGUCUGCCUUGAAGAUGACGGUAGAGGAGUUAACAAAUGCUUGAACAGUUGGAAUGCAAAUACCAAUUAUUAUCCAGAAAUGGGCAUUCAGUUGAUUUUGAAGGAACCUGAACUUUUGCCUUGGAUUAUUCAGUCAUUCAAAACUACAUUUCUCUACUUGUUCACACUGAGCUUCAAGCAAUUCAUCAAUUACAGUUCAGUUGUCCUCUGGCCCUGGUUCCCGUGGAGGUUUCACCUUACGGAUUUCUGCUCUGUCACAUAUGUCAUUGAGCGGGAGCAUGGAGUUAGGAGCUAGUUCUGUCACUAAUUUUUAUGCUUAAG